AACGAACGCUGGCGGCAUGCCUAACACAUGCAAGUCGAACGAGACCUUCGGGUCUAGUGGCGCACGGGUGCGUAACGCGUGGGAACCUGCCCUUAGGUUCGGAAUAACUCCCCGAAAGGGGUGCUAAUACCGGAUAACGUCUUCGGACCAAAGAUUUAUCGCCUUUGGAUGGGCCCGCGUUGGAUUAGCUAGUUGGUAGGGUAAAAGCCUACCAAGGCGACGAUCCAUAGCUGGUCUGAGAGGAUGAUCAGCCACACUGGGACCGAGACACGGCCCAGACUCCUACGGGAGGCAGCAGUGGGGAAUAUUGGACAAUGGGCGAAAGCCUGAUCCAGCAAUGCCGCGUGAGUGAUGAAGGCCUUAGGGUUGUAAAGCUCUUUUACCCGGGAUGAUAAUGACAGUACCGGGAGAAUAAGCUCCGGCUAACUCCGUG
Molecule: ribosomal RNA, 433 nt
Filed under: uncultured bacterium
Lineage: Bacteria
Description: partial 16S ribosomal RNA
Rfam family: Bacterial small subunit ribosomal RNA
Source: RNAcentral